GACGAAGGUGGCAAGCGUUGUUCGGAUUCACUGGGCAUAAAGGGCGCGUAGGCGGUCUCGUAAGCGGCAUGUGAAAGCCCCCGGCUCAACCGGGGAAGUGCGUGCCGGACUGCGAUUCUAGAGGGUGGUAGGGGGGACUGGAACUCUCGGUGGAGCGGUGAAAUGCGUAGAUAUCGAGAGGAACACCGGUGGCGAAGGCGAGUCCCUGGUCCACUUCUGACGCUGAGGCGCGAAAGCGUGGGUAGCAAACAGG
Molecule: ribosomal RNA, 253 nt
Filed under: uncultured bacterium
Lineage: Bacteria
Description: partial 16S ribosomal RNA
Rfam family: Bacterial small subunit ribosomal RNA
Source: RNAcentral